This 429-nucleotide ribosomal RNA is filed under the name uncultured Anaplasma sp. Its description in RNAcentral is "bacterial SSU rRNA". It matches the Rfam family "Bacterial small subunit ribosomal RNA", at positions 944 to 1369 of the family's 1533-position model. Lineage: Bacteria; Pseudomonadati; Pseudomonadota; Alphaproteobacteria; Rickettsiales; Anaplasmataceae. The record is from RNAcentral.
GUUUAAUUUCGAUGCAACGCGAAAAACCUUACCACUUCUUGACAUGGAGGCUAGAUCCUUCUUAACAGAAGGGCGCAGUUCGGCUGGGCCUCGCACAGGUGCUGCAUGGCUGUCGUCAGCUCGUGUCGUGAGAUGUUGGGUUAAGUCCCGCAACGAGCGCAACCCUCAUCCUUAGUUACCAGCGGGUAAUGCCGGGCACUUUAAGGAAACUGCCAGUGAUAAACUGGAGGAAGGUGGGGAUGAUGUCAAGUCAGCACGGCCCUUAUGGGGUGGGCUACACACGUGCUACAAUGGCGACUACAAUAGGUUGCAACGUCGCAAGGCUGAGCUAAUCCGUAAAAGUCGUCUCAGUUCGGAUUGUCCUCUGUAACUCGAGGGCAUGAAGUCGGAAUCGCUAGUAAUCGUGGAUCAGCAUGCCACGGUGAAUAC